UGAUGUACUCGGAACUUCAGA
RNAcentral lists this non-coding RNA (21 nucleotides) under Caenorhabditis elegans. Lineage: Eukaryota; Metazoa; Nematoda; Chromadorea; Rhabditida; Rhabditidae. The record is from RNAcentral.